Molecule: ribosomal RNA, 264 nt
Filed under: uncultured archaeon
Lineage: Archaea
Description: partial 16S ribosomal RNA
Rfam family: Archaeal small subunit ribosomal RNA
Source: RNAcentral
CGCCCGCCGCGCCCCGCGCCCGUCCCGCCGCCCCCGCCCGAUUAGAUACCCGUGUAGUCCCGGCCGUAAACGAUGCGGGCUAGCUGUCGGUCGGGCUUAGGGCCCGGCCGGUGGCGAAGGGAAACCGUUAAGCCCGCCGCCUGGGGAGUACGGCCGCAAGGCUGAAACUUAAAGGAAUUGGCGGGGGGGCACCACAAGGGGUGAAGCUUGCGGCUUAAUUGGAGUCAACGCCGGAAACCUCACCCGGGGCGACAGCAGGAUGAA